CCUACGGGAGGCUGCAGUGGGGAAUAUUGCACAAUGGGCGCAAGCCUGAUGCAGCCAUGCCGCGUGUGUGAAGAAGGCCUUCGGGUUGUAAAGCACUUUCAGCGGGGAGGAAGGCGUUAAGGUUAAUAACCUUGGCGAUUGACGUUACCCGCAGAAGAAGCACCGGCUAACUCCGUGCCAGCAGCCGCGGUAAUACGGAGGGUGCAAGCGUUAAUCGGAAUUACUGGGCGUAAAGCGCACGCAGGCGGUCUGUCAAGUCGGAUGUGAAAUCCCCGGGCUCAACCUGGGUACUGCAUUCGAAACUGGCAGGCUAGAGGCUUGUAGAGGGGGGUAGAAUUCCAGGUGUAGCGGUGAAAUGCGUAGAGAUCUGGAGGAAUACCGGUGGCGAAGGCGGCCCCCUGGACAAAGACUGACGCUCAGGGGCGAAAGCGUGGGGAGCAAACAGGAUUAGAUACCCGUGUAGUC
This 465-nucleotide ribosomal RNA is filed under the name uncultured Klebsiella sp. Its description in RNAcentral is "bacterial SSU rRNA". It matches the Rfam family "Bacterial small subunit ribosomal RNA", at positions 338 to 795 of the family's 1533-position model. Lineage: Bacteria; Pseudomonadati; Pseudomonadota; Gammaproteobacteria; Enterobacterales; Enterobacteriaceae. The record is from RNAcentral.